CUUUGCACGGAUAUAUAUCCUCACAUGUUAAAAAAGAAAAUCCAUUGUGCUCUGUUUCUCUCAAAGCUAUGUAGAAACUUUAAUUUGAUGCAAAAGUUUCCACAACUUCAGGCUUUUGCAAUGCUUGCUCUCUGUAAACUAACGAUCAUUGAUGCAGACUUUUGUGAAGCAAAUCUUCAACUUUUGUUCACUGUUCUGGAGAAUGCGCCAUCAGAAACUGUUCGAUCCAACUGCACA
This is a long non-coding RNA of Asparagus officinalis (garden asparagus), 237 nucleotides long. RefSeq lists it as uncharacterized. NCBI's taxonomy places the organism in Eukaryota, Viridiplantae, Streptophyta, Magnoliopsida, Asparagales, Asparagaceae. The transcript has 3 exons. The record is from RefSeq and is a predicted model, not a curated record.